RNAcentral lists this transfer RNA (55 nucleotides) under Begonia nantoensis. RNAcentral's name for it is "partial tRNA-Phe". Lineage: Eukaryota; Viridiplantae; Streptophyta; Magnoliopsida; Cucurbitales; Begoniaceae. RNAcentral also lists the same sequence under 12 other names. The record is from RNAcentral.
ACAAAAAAAUCUUCUUUUUGAAUUGAAGAGCCAAGAAAUUCCAGGGGACUUUAGA